RNAcentral lists this transfer RNA (71 nucleotides) under Andrias davidianus (Chinese giant salamander). Its description in RNAcentral is "tRNA-Gly". Lineage: Eukaryota; Metazoa; Chordata; Amphibia; Caudata; Cryptobranchidae. The record is from RNAcentral.
GCCUUUUUAGUAAAAAAAAUACAAAUGACUUCCAAUCAUUUAAUCUUAGUAAAAAAAUCUAAGAAGAGGUA